CUGCGGCAGCGACACUAUGUGUUGUUGGGUAGGGGAGCGUUCUGUAAGCCUGUGAAGGUGUGUCGUGAGGCAUGCUGGAGGUAUCAGAAGUGCGAAUGCUGACAUAAGUAACGAUAAAGCGGGUGAAAAGCCCGCUCGCCGGAAGACCAAGGGUUCCUGUCCAACGUUAAUCGGGGCAGGGUGAGUCGACCCCUAAGGCGAGGCCGAAAGGCGUAGUCGAUGGGAAACGGGUUAAUAUUCCCGUACUUGGUGUUACUGCGAAGGGGGGACGGAGAAGGCUAUGUUGGCCGGGCGACGGUUGUCCCGGUUUAAGCGUGUAGGUGUGUGUUCCAGGUAAAUCCGGUUCACUUUAACACUGAGGCGUGACGACGAGGCACUACGGUGCUGAAGCAACAAAUGCCCUGCUUCCAGGAAAAGCCUCUAAGCAUCAGGUAACAUCAAAUCGUACCCCAAACCGACACAGGUGGUCAGGUAGAGAAUACCAAGGCGCUUGAGAGAACUCGGGUGAAGGAACUAGGCAAAAUGGUGCCGUAACUUCGGGAGAAGGCACGCUGACACGUAGGUGAAGUGAUUUACUCAUGGAGCUGAAGUCAGUCGAAGAUACCAGCUGGCUGCAACUGUUUAUUAAAAACACAGCACUGUGCAAACACGAAAGUGGACGUAUACGGUGUGACGCCUGCCCGGUGCCGGAAGGUUAAUUGAUGGGGUCAGCGCAAGCGAAGCUCCUGAUCGAAGCCCCGGUAAACGGCGGCCGUAACUAUAACGGUCCUAAGGUAGCGAAAUUCCUUGUCGGGUAAGUUCCGACCUGCACGAAUGGCGUAAUGAUGGCCAGGCUGUCUCCACCCGAGACUCAGUGAAAUUGAACUCGCUGUGAAGAUGCAGUGUACCCGCGGCAAGACGGAAAGACCCCGUGAACCUUUACUAUAGCUUGACACUGAACAUUGAGCCUUGAUGUGUAG
RNAcentral lists this ribosomal RNA (959 nucleotides) under Salmonella enterica. Its description in RNAcentral is "partial 23S ribosomal RNA". It matches the Rfam family "Bacterial large subunit ribosomal RNA", at positions 1200 to 2141 of the family's 2925-position model. The record is from RNAcentral. RNAcentral also lists the same sequence under 1 other name. Lineage: Bacteria; Pseudomonadati; Pseudomonadota; Gammaproteobacteria; Enterobacterales; Enterobacteriaceae.